This is an RNA transcript of Acipenser ruthenus (sterlet), 1753 nucleotides long. It is a transcript of the gene named zona pellucida sperm-binding protein 3-like, with no coding region annotated. Lineage: Eukaryota; Metazoa; Chordata; Actinopteri; Acipenseriformes; Acipenseridae. The transcript has 4 exons. The record is from RefSeq and is a predicted model, not a curated record.
GAUUCUGAACGGAAGAGUUGACAAUGGGGUCGCGCAGUGUUCAGACAGCGCUUUCGCUCGCUUUGAUUUUACUUGUGCAGCUCCACGGCGGUUUCGGAUGGAGCUGGUCGGAUCAGCCGGUUUAUAACCCAGUGCUGUUUACCGCGCCGAGAGUGGUAUUUCAGGCGAAGCCCACCCCUCUCUCCGUGCAGAGAGCUGACCUGUCGCUGUUGAAUUCGGUCACCCUGGACUGCAGGAAAGACGCCAUCGUCUUGACCGUGAACCGGGACUUGUUUGGGAUCGGCUACCUGGUGAGCAGCGCCGACUUGAGCGUCGGGUCCGCGGGCUGCUCGGCCACCUCCUCCGACAGCGUCGCCAACACGGUUUUGUUCAGCAUCCAGCUCCAGGACUGCGGCUGCACUUUCCAGGGCUGAUGGAAUGACAAUGCGGUUUCCUUUUGUUAUGAAGCCAUCGAUUUCAGGCAGUUGACGUCUUGCUGGAAAGAAGCAGUCGCUUGAGAUUUCAAGAGAGGAGAGACCUUUCAAGAGAGACCUUUCAAGAGAUUUCAAGAGAGGAGAGAACUUUACAGGAGAGACCUGGUUCUUUUUUAUUUGUUUGCCACAGAUCCACUGACACUAAUUCAUCUUAGAAGGGUGGAGCUGGACUCCAUGUUAAGAGCAAUCUAGGUAAAGUACCUUGCUCAAGGGUACAGCAGCAGUGUUUCCCACCUGGGAGUGAACCCACAACCUGCUGGUCAAGAGUCCAGAGCCCUAACCACUGCUCCACACUGCUGCCCCCAAGUUCUGAUGAAUCAUUAAAUGAAAACUUCUAUGCAAGUGUCACAGGUGUGACUGCUGAGCACUUAUUAUUUUCAUUAUUAUUAUUGCAUGAAUUUUCUAUACACUUUUAAUGUGUGAUUUGCUUGUUUUGUAAUUUUGCUUUGUCUUUAAACUCUCACCUGAACAGAAUAAAGUGAUGUCUGACCAAAGGGAAACUUGAUUCAUGUUAAUUUGAAGCAGCUGUUACUUUAUUUAGAUACCUUUGAUCGGGGCAGGUUUUUCUUUUAUAAGCUCCAGGAGAGAAACGCCAAGGGGAGAGAAACGACAGAGAGAAGGGAAAACAAACUGAGAAUGAAGAGAGACUUGGAGAGGGACAACCGAGAAGAACUGCAUUGGGAAAUUGGCUUAUGCAUAAAACGAGACUAAAAUAGACUGUAGCCAGGCCUGAGGUGAGGGACGAGACAGAAGGGGAACAUUAAAGCACAUAAUCAGCAUGAAAGACAAGACAGGACACCAAGCACCACCCCUGAAGUGAAGCAAGAACAGCAGGCUGACUGAGCGAGACCAGAUAAGGCGGAGGUUAAUUGGCAAUACAAACGACUGAGAUUCUGGACUGCCACAGUCUCUAGAGAUGGGGAGUGUUGAGAUUACUUCCCCUUAAAGUUAAGUGCUGCUUUCUUAACUCGCUUUAUUUAGUUUAGUUAUUUUAUUUUUAAAUUCUUUGUUUGAAAGCCACUGAAUAUAAAACAAGUAACAACGGAAUGUACUGCACUCCUCAGUUUUUGUUUUGUUUAUUUAUUUUGUAGAGUUCUGCUUCUGCCACGCCCCUCUACACUUCAACUGCAACUUCAUGAGCUACUUUCUUUGCACACUAUUUCGGGCCUGUAAGCAAUUGACCCAGAGACUGAUUUGCAUUCUUUUGCAUGAUUUGGACUGGUUUCUAACUUGUUUUUUAUUUUGAACUAUUAUUGUAAAUGUAUUGAUGAUAUUUUACA